This 253-nucleotide ribosomal RNA is filed under the name uncultured bacterium. RNAcentral describes it as "partial 16S ribosomal RNA". It matches the Rfam family "Bacterial small subunit ribosomal RNA", at positions 524 to 776 of the family's 1533-position model. The record is from RNAcentral.
UACGGAGGGUGCAAGCGUUGUCCGGAUUUAUUGGGUUUAAAGGGUGCGUAGGCGGACUAGUAAGUCUGGUUUGAAAGUCAGCGGCUCAACCGUUGAGGGUGGCUGGAUACUGUUAGUCUUGAACUUGUUGGAGGCAGCCGGAACGGAUCGUGUAGCGGUGAAAUGCAUAGAUAUGAUCCAGAACACCAAUUGCGUAGGCAGGCUGCUAGGACUGAGUUGACGCUGAGGCACGAGAGCAUGGGGAGCAAACAGG